This 462-nucleotide ribosomal RNA is filed under the name uncultured Flavobacteriaceae bacterium. RNAcentral's name for it is "bacterial SSU rRNA". It matches the Rfam family "Bacterial small subunit ribosomal RNA", at positions 40 to 497 of the family's 1533-position model. The record is from RNAcentral. Lineage: Bacteria; Pseudomonadati; Bacteroidota; Flavobacteriia; Flavobacteriales; Flavobacteriaceae.
CGGCAGGCCUUAUACAUGCAAGUCGAACGGUAACAUUGGUGCUUGCACCAGAUGACGAGUGGCGCACGGGUGCGUAACGCGUAUGCAACCUACCUUUUACUAGAGUAUAGCCCAGAGAAAUUUGGAUUAAUCCUCUAUAACAUCUUUUAAUUUCAUGAUUAAUUGAUUAAAGUUUUAACGGUAAAAGAUGGGCAUGCGUCCUAUUAGUUUGUAGGUGAGGUAACGGCUCACCUAGACUACGAUAGGUAGGGGCCCUGAGAGGGGGAUCCCCCACACUGGUACUGAGACACGGACCAGACUCCUACGGGAGGCAGCAGUAAGGAAUAUUGGACAAUGGACGAAAGUCUGAUCCAGCCAUGCCGCGUGCAGGAUGAAAGCCCUAUGGGUUGUAAACUGCUUUUAUACAGGAAGAAACACUCCGACGUGUCGGAGCUUGACGGUACUGUAAGAAUAAGGAUCGGC